Molecule: ribosomal RNA, 430 nt
Filed under: uncultured marine bacterium 311
Lineage: Bacteria
Description: bacterial SSU rRNA
Rfam family: Bacterial small subunit ribosomal RNA
Source: RNAcentral
AGCGCACCCCUAUCCUUGUAUGCCAGCGCAUAAUGGCGGGAACUAUAAGGAGACUGCCGGUCAUAAACCGGAGGAAGGCGGGGGCGACGUCAAGUCAUCAUGGCCCUUAUGGGUAGGGCUACACACGUGAUACAAUGGGUGGUACAGAGGGUCGCCAAAGCGCGAGCUGGAGCCAAACCCUUAAAACCAUUCUUAGUCCGGAUUGGAGUCUGCAACUCGACUCCAUGAAGUCGGAAUCGCUAGUAAUCGCGAAUCAGAAUGUCGCGGUGAAUACGUUCUCGGGCCUUGUGCACACCGCCCGUCACGUCAUGGAAGUGGGUUGCACCAGAAGUGGCUUGUUUAGCCUUCGGGAAAACGGUCACCACGGUGUGAUUCACAACUGGGACGAAGUCGUAACAAGGUAGCCCUAGGGGAACCUGGGGCUGGAUCA